RNAcentral lists this ribosomal RNA (403 nucleotides) under bacterium. RNAcentral describes it as "partial 16S ribosomal RNA". It matches the Rfam family "Bacterial small subunit ribosomal RNA", at positions 355 to 776 of the family's 1533-position model. The record is from RNAcentral.
UGGGGAAUAUUGCACAAUGGGGGAAACCCUGAUGCAGCGACGCCGCGUGAACGAAGAAGGUAUUCGUAUCGUAAAGUUCUGUCCUAUGGGAAGAUAAUGACAGUACCAUAGAAGAAAGCUCCGGCUAAAUACGUGCCAGCAGCCGCGGUAAUACGUAUGGAGCGAGCGUUGUCCGGAAUUAUUGGGCGUAAAGGGUACGCAGGCGGUUUAAUAAGUCGAAUGUUAAAGAUCGGGGCUCAACCCCGCAAAGCAUUGGAAACUGAUAAACUUGAGUAGUGGAGAGGAAAGUGGAAUUCCUAGUGUAGUGCUGAAAUACGUAGAUAUUAGGAGGAAUACCAGUAGCGAAGGCGACUUUCUGGACACAAACUGACGCUGCGGUACGAAAGCGUGGGGAGCAAACAGG